Molecule: ribosomal RNA, 463 nt
Filed under: uncultured bacterium
Lineage: Bacteria
Description: partial 16S ribosomal RNA
Rfam family: Bacterial small subunit ribosomal RNA
Source: RNAcentral
GAUGAACGCUGACAGAAUGCUUAACACAUGCAAGUCUUUGGCGAAUCUGUGCUUGCACAGGCUAGCCAAGGCGGACGGGUGAGUAACGCGUAAAGAACUUGCCCUGCAGACAGGGAUAACAGACGGAAACGACUGAUAACACCUGAUACAGUUGCCGGCACGCAUGUGCCUGGCAAUGAAAAGAGAUGCUGCAGGAGAGCUUUGCGUCCUAUUAGCUUGUUGGUGAGGUGACGGCUCACCAAGGCGAUGAUAGGUAGCCGGCCUGAGAGGGUGAACGGCCACAAGGGGACUGAGAUACGGCCCUUACUCCUACGGGAGGCAGCAGUGGGGAAUAUUGGGCAAUGGGGGCAACCCUGAUCCAGCAAUUCUGUGUGCACGAAGAAGGUUUUCGGAUUGUAAAGUGCUUUCAGCAGGGAAGAAGAAAGUGACGGUACCUGCAGAAGAAGCGACGGCUAAAUACGUG